This 426-nucleotide long non-coding RNA is filed under the name Columba livia (rock pigeon). Its description in RNAcentral is "partial uncharacterized LOC102091007". Lineage: Eukaryota; Metazoa; Chordata; Aves; Columbiformes; Columbidae. The record is from RNAcentral.
GGGAGCUGAGAGUCGGUACGCCUGGAAUAACACCACACGGAGCGGUGGAGAGCAGCGUUCGUUCUCAUUUGCAGAGGCCGACGCUGAGGGUAACGGGACGAGAGGGAAGGAGCUCUGCAGCACGUCGGUACGCGCGGCAUCGCCCAGCUGCUCUGCAAUGGGGACGGAGCCCGAGCCAGCACCAGAGCCCGGAGACCAAUGCACAUACUCAGGACAUGAGCUUCCAGCUACUCUACACCAGGCACUUCGGUUCUCCCUGCUCCGCCACGGAACGGCACGAUAAACUCCACAAUACUCGCUCCUGCGCCAGACACCGAAUACCCCAGCGCUGCAGAGUCCUGGCCCAUCGGCGCAGGGCUCGGACGCCGGGCAGGAGCCGCCCCGGAGAGGCCACAUUCCAGCUCCAGAUCGCAGACAACCCCAAUG